UUUUUUUUUUUUUUAAGAGUUUUUCUCAGGACAGUACUUUGCUGCAGCACGCUCUGGUUUCCCUUCAGGUCAUACAAACCUUUCAUAUGAAUUGUAUACUAUCCAUUAAAAAAAAGUUCUGAAAUAAAAUUUCUGGCCAGCCUCAGUGUUUGUACCCAGAACUGCAGCUGGUCUGAGGCCUGGAAUCAGACUGAACGCAGGAUGCAGUCGUGCUGCAAAUGACCAUCCUCCAGCAUUUCUGAAGGCUGCUGGUUUGUCACCGAAUAUUUUUGUCUUGGUUGUUCCUGGUAAGUGGCAGCUUUGUGUGUUACCAAAGCAUCUCUCUUGCGCUGUAUAUAGCUAACACUGCAAGUGCUGUGUCUCUAAAGGUAAGAAAGCAGGCUGCCUCGGAGGAUGAAAACCUAAGGCCUGGGCAUCAGGCUGAGUCGUACUCAGUAGAGGAAUCUAACACGUGUAAAGAGCACAGCUUCUGUGAUUCCCAGGGUGUUGAUGUUCUAGCAAGUGUGAAAGCAGCCCCAGUGCUGCUCUGACUUCGCCUGGCUUAUGAUUGCUCCCAGCAGCACUCAUGUUGGUUAGAUCUCCCCAGGGCCCUUCUCCAAGCACUUUCUCCCUAUAGGGCACGUACCCUGGGCAUUAACAGUGACAAUGUGUGCCUGCUUCUUGGAACAGGUUUAUGGCUUCUUUGUGUUCCUGGAGCUGUGUACAGGUGUUGUUUUGAUAGCCAGGAUCCAGUCUAGAGGAACUCAGUAAGAGAGCCAUGAGGUCAGCUUCUUCCUCUCUUUAGUGAGGAAUUUAUAUUAAUGUUUGUGUUUUCAUCCAAUAUAUGACUAAGAGUGAAAGGGCACAUUUAGCUUAUGGUAUCUAGAAACACAAUCCUGUCUUUGUUGAGUUGUGAUGUCAUUGGUGGUGGAGGUCUUGCAUCACUGAUCUCAAACAAGGAUGUUUUUCUGCAGCUAAUCUUUGAAUAGAUAAGCAGAUCCUUUAACAGGCACCCUGAAGACAUUUCCAUAUAUUCUGAAACAAAUUGAAUAACU
RNAcentral lists this long non-coding RNA (1034 nucleotides) under Strigops habroptila (Kakapo). Its description in RNAcentral is "lncRNA (ENSSHBG00005001563.1)". Lineage: Eukaryota; Metazoa; Chordata; Aves; Psittaciformes; Psittacidae. The record is from RNAcentral.